This 561-nucleotide ribosomal RNA is filed under the name uncultured bacterium. Its description in RNAcentral is "bacterial SSU rRNA". It matches the Rfam family "Bacterial small subunit ribosomal RNA", at positions 338 to 916 of the family's 1533-position model. The record is from RNAcentral.
CCUACGGGAGGCAGCAGUGGGGAAUAUUGGACAAUGGGCGAAAGCCUGAUCCAGCAAUGCCGCGUGAGUGAUGAAGGCCUUAGGGUUGUAAAGCUCUUUUACCAGGGAUGAUAAUGACAGUACCUGGAGAAUAAGCUCCGGCUAACUCCGUGCCAGCAGCCGCGGUAAUACGGAGGGAGCUAGCGUUGUUCGGAAUUACUGGGCGUAAAGAGUACGUAGGCGGUGAUUCAAGUCAGAGGUGAAAGCCUGGAGCUCAACUCCAGAACUGCCUUUGAAACUAGAUCGCUAGAAUCAUGGAGAGGUUAGUGGAAUUCCGAGUGUAGAGGUGAAAUUCGUAGAUAUUCGGAAGAACACCAGUGGCGAAGGCGACUAACUGGACAUGUAUUGACGCUGAGGUACGAAAGCGUGGGGAGCAAACAGGAUUAGAUACCCUGGUAGUCCACGCCGUAAACGAUGAUAACUAGCUGUUCGGGGUCUACGAUCCUGAGUGGCGCAGCUAACGCAUUAAGUUAUCCGCCUGGGGAGUACGGUCGCAAGAUUAAAACUUAAAGGAAUUGACGG